This 86-nucleotide transfer RNA is filed under the name Desulfovibrio sp. Its description in RNAcentral is "tRNA-Leu". It matches the Rfam family "tRNA". From Rfam's summary of the family: Transfer RNA (tRNA) molecules are approximately 80 nucleotides in length. Their secondary structure includes four short double-helical elements and three loops (D, anti-codon, and T loops). Further hydrogen bonds mediate the characteristic L-shaped molecular structure. tRNAs have two regions of fundamental functional importance: the anti-codon, which is responsible for specific mRNA codon recognition, and the 3' end, to which the tRNAs corresponding amino acid is attached (by aminoacyl-tRNA synthetases). tRNAs cope with the degeneracy of the genetic code in two manners: having more than one tRNA (with a specific anti-codon) for a particular amino acid; and 'wobble' base-pairing, i.e. permitting non-standard base-pairing at the 3rd anti-codon position. Lineage: Bacteria; Pseudomonadati; Thermodesulfobacteriota; Desulfovibrionia; Desulfovibrionales; Desulfovibrionaceae. The record is from RNAcentral.
GCCGGGGUGGUGGAACUGGUAGACACGCUAUCUUGAGGGGGUAGUGGGCCAUGCUCAUGCGGGUUCGAGUCCCGCCCUCGGUACCA